GAGCACCAGCAGCAUGCGCCCGUCGCGGCGGAGCCCCCGCUUGGUGAUCAGGAAUAGCGCGAUUGCAAGCAGGGCUGCUUCGUAGAGGUUGAGCGUGAGGAUGAGGGUGAACAGGCGGGUGCGCGUGAUCGACACCCAGGAGAGGGAGUUGGUCAGCGCGAGGCAGCUCGCGAGCAUGCACGCCGCGCUGAGGAGGUAGAAGGGAUUGUGGU
RNAcentral lists this unclassified non-coding RNA (212 nucleotides) under plant metagenome. RNAcentral's name for it is "partial contains 5.8S ribosomal RNA, internal transcribed spacer 2, and large subunit ribosomal RNA". The record is from RNAcentral.